GCCCGGUUAGCUCAAUCGGUAGAGCGUGAGACUCUUAAUCUCAAGGUUGCGGGUAAGCAAAUAUUGAAGAAAAAAAUUAUCGUCGGUGGAUUUGUGACUAACCCUAGUGCUAGGUUCGACCCCCGCAUCGGGCU
Xylaria curta is the source of this 134-nucleotide non-coding RNA. The record is from the annotation of a GenBank genome assembly. NCBI's taxonomy places the organism in Eukaryota, Fungi, Ascomycota, Sordariomycetes, Xylariales, Xylariaceae.